RNA transcript from Bolinopsis microptera, 4931 nucleotides. It is a transcript of the gene named telomerase protein component 1-like, with no coding region annotated. The transcript is spliced from 6 exons. The record is from RefSeq and is a predicted model, not a curated record. NCBI's taxonomy places the organism in Eukaryota, Metazoa, Ctenophora, Tentaculata, Lobata, Bolinopsidae.
UUACUUGAUAGUAGAUUUAACAGUUGUUUAUUGUACAGAUUAUGUUCGGCCUCUGCAGAAAGAUGAGGCGGGGUACGGAGGAGAGAGCUGACGACAAGCUGGUCACUACUGAGAAGAAGUCAGAAGAAAGAGCUCCUUCCGCUGACGAGGCCUUAGAAGGCGCUGUGGAAGAGGCAGCCGGGGUGCGGGAGGGGUCUGUGGAAGAGGCAGCGACACAGCUGAAGGAUAUAGACUUCAGUGACUGGCUGAAUGAGCACCUGUGUGAAUUGGACCUGACACACGAGCAGGCGGAGGAGAAGAGUGUAGGGGAGUGGACGGAAAUACGCCUCUUCCUCAGCUCCACCUUUAUUGACACACAGGCGGAGCGGGAUGAGAUUAUUAAAACUAUAAUCCCGGAGAUAAACCGGAAGAUGGCCCCUAACUUUAUAAGGAUAAUCCCAGUAGAUUUAAGAUGGGGCGUGCUGGCUGAGGAAUGUAAGAGCUGCUAUGAUAUUCAGAAGACUUGUCUGAAUCAGAUAGACAACUGCAGGAUGUCGGAGAAACAGAGCCCCUGGUUCCUGGGGCUCAGAACCUCUCGAUACGGCUGGCUCCAAAACGAGGUAAUGCCCAGUCAAGGUUUCGAGACUCCUCAGAACUACGGCUGGAUAGACAAGUUGAGUGGGACAGAGAAAGCAGUGAGCAUCACUUCUCUGGAGGUGUGCCAUGCUUCUCGUGUCCCGGAGACUCUACCCCCCUACCCGACUGUGUUCUUCUAUCACCGUCAGUUCACCCCUGCAGCACAGGAGAAGCUGAGUGGGGACGAGCUGAGGUGGGUGUUUGAUUUCGAGUACACAGCUGAAGAAGUUCUGGAUCCCGAACUGAAACAUCAGUACACUCUUAUUGACAAGGCUGGAGCCUAUGCUAAGGAUAAAGACGAGCUAGAUGACUUCCUGAAAGACCAGUCUCACAUGUUGUACUCUGAUUAUAGUGCUGAUUAUAAACAAGCUUACUACACCAACAAAAGGGAGAAUGCUAAGAGCUUCGGGGUCGGCUACACCGACAACUUGGGCGAGUUCGCGCAAAAAGUUGAGCGAGAUCUGUUGACGGCUAUAAAAAUGAACUUCAUUGUGCCUGAUGCAAGCAACCUUGACGGUUAUCUUUUUGACACAAUUCAGCAUGAGAAUGCCAUUAAAUUAAAAGCAUCAACAUUUGUUGGGAGGACAGAAAUGGCAGAGGAGACGUUUGAACACACUAAAAGUACUGAAGGUGAACACACGCUGAUACUGCACGGGGAUCCAGGUUGUGGUAAGUCAGGGUUACUGGCUGCUGUGGCUCAACGCACUAUCGACUGUAAAGGUAAAGACGAUUUCGUGUUCGUGCAUGCAGUUGAUUCCUGCCCGGGCUCCAAUCUGCUAGAGAAGUUUCUCAGGAGACUACAUGUAAAUUUAAGAACUUUCAGACGAGAGCGCGGGGAGAUCAACAUAUCAUCUGAUCCGCCAGAAUCCAUUACUGACCUGAAGCAAGAGCAUCACUCCUUCAUCAUGAGCACAGCAGAGCAGUAUCCAGGGAGUAAGUUUGUAAUAAUUGUAGACGCUGUGAACCAGUUCCAUAACAGUCUGGGAGCAUGGGACAUGUGGUGGAUGAUUAGAGACGAGGGGGCCCCCAACUUGAGGUUUAUUAUAUCCACCCUUACGGAGGAAAACAACACUUACAAGAACGCUAUGAUAUCAUGCAAACACUCACGGUCACUUGAAGUCUCACAAAUGUCCCAAGAAGAUCUGGUAGACAUGGUGAACAGAACACUGGAGAGGUACAACAAAAAGCUCACUAAUUACGACGACAGACUGCUGGGAAACCAGAUUGAAGUUCUCCUCUCUAAAAGCUCAUCUCCUCUGUUUCUCAUUGCAGCCUGCGAGGCUCUCAGAAAAUUCGGGAUCUUUGAGAAGGUUUCAGAGUACAUAGCUUCCUUCCCUGACAGAAUAACAGGACUGUUUAGUUUCCUGGUAGACGAGUGGUCGGGGGAGUACGGUAAGGAUUUCACAGAGGACGUGUGUGGACUGAUAUGUCUGUCUAAAGACGGACUGCUGGAGAACCAGAUUAAUGACCUACUGAGGUUCAAAGAGGAGAUGGUUCAGGGAGAGAAAGGAGGUUUCCUGUAUGACUCUUCUUUCUCCAGGAUAUACGACUCUGUCAGUAGUUUUCUAGCGGCCGGGGGUGGGGGUUACCUCAGGUUCUUCCACGACCAGCUUAAAUACACUAUCAGGGAUAAGUUUCUGGACGAUACAUUCUCCCAAAACACCCACCAGUGGUUCUGUGACUUCUUCAUGGCGAUCAUCCAGCCCCAACUCUGCAGCCAACCUCAGGCGAAAACUCCAGAUUAUUACGAGCACGUUCUCAACCAAAUUGUGCAUCACCAACUAGAGGUGGCAAGGGUUACUCAGUCUUUUGAAACUUUCAAACUCACGCUGAGGAAUAUCUACUUUGUAAGAGAGCGGAUCCAGUUUAACCAGCAUAACAAUCUUAACAAUGAGUACCUAGCAGCAAUAGAAGCUGCUCCACUAGACAAGGCAGCCUUUAAACUGUGGGCUAAGUUUGUUCAGCUUUACACACCAGCUAUCAAGGAGUUUCCUCAGUUCGCGUACAACAUGGCCACUAACCAGGCCCCUAGCUCUGUAGUAAGUCAGGACACUCUGCUCCUGUCUGCUCCGGAGCCUCAGGUUGGUUACCCCCUCUCCUGGGCUAACAUUCCUGCUGCUGAUGACCCUAUUUCCGUGAAGAUACCCUCUUUAGGGGUCGACUGUGUAGCCUCUUCGGUAGCAAAAGAUGUUGUUGUGAUAGCAGCUAAAUCCCACGCUGGUAUAUACGACUUAUCAAGUGGGGAGACGCUACACAAACUACCAGUGAGUGCCUACUCAGUCCACCUAGCAGAAGGGGAGGAGACCCUGUUUGUGGGAGAUGGGGAGGGAGUAGUACACUCUUACGAUGUGGACUCCGGGGCCCACAAGUGCAGCAGUGAGGCGGGAGAGGGCUGUAUUACCUGGCUUGGAACUGACAGAGCGGGGCUGGUUAUCGCAGGGCCCGGGUACUCCAGGAAAGCAAUAUCUUGGGACGGCCACACCUCAGUCGGUAAAUACAUGGUGCUGGAUCCAGAGGACCUGAGUCUAGUGAGGAGCUGGGGGUGCGAGGACCCUUCCUUCCAUCACUCCUACAACACAGCUACCCACAAACUCAUCAGCUCACACAAAGGAUUCCUUGCUGUGUGGGACCCUGACUCCGGGGAGAAACUCUUCACUGGAUCAGAUGACAGUGGGUGUAUUUAUUGUGUAGACAGUCACCUGACAGAGCGUCUAGUUAUAUCAGGUAACAAUGAGUUGCAGGUAGUUGAGUGGGAGCUAACAGAGCAGGGUCUGCAGAUACUAAGGAAGGUGGAGCUGCCCUGUAUCAGUGGCUGGGCGUAUGGGGGAGUGUGGAGUGUGAAGUACAGUGUGGACGGGGAUCUGAUCUACUGUACUGAGCCACAGUCUCAGAGCAUCAAGAUCUACAACAAGGAAAGUGAAAAGGUUGGGGAACUGAAGGGACACUCUGAUUGUGUAAUGAAGAUCUCCACAGUGCCGGGGGAAAGUAGAGAGAUCCUCUCCUCUGAUAGAGACAGUGUUAGUUUUAUAUGGAGCCUGCCCUCCUCUGGAGAUGUAGACGCUUGUAAACAGGAACUUGAUGAGAAGGUGCAGUGGGUAGGGUUCAGUGUAGGGGAGGAACUGUUCGCUACAGUCACAGACAACCGAUGCAGACUGUGGGACUCCGUGGAUCUCAAGGUGGUUAGGUCUGUAAAAUUUGGGGGUUUCUACAGGUCUAAAGGAGCAUUUCAUCCUGAUGGGGAGUGUCUGUUUUUAAACUCUAGAAUGGGAGUUCUCGUCUACAACCUCCAGCUGCAACUACUGGAAUCUUAUCAGGUGCUAAAGAGUGAGGAUGGUUCCACCACUGAUCUGAAGAUAACACCUGAUGGCAGCAAGUUCCUAGUGACAGAGUGUAGGAACAGUAACAGUGAGCUGAGCAAGGCUUUUGUGUGGAACUGCUCCGAUCCGAGUUCUGCUUCGGAGCAUCUUAUAAAAGAUGGUUACGGGGCGCGUAUGUUUUCGUGCGGAGUAUCUCACGACAGCAAACUUGGAAUUGUAGGAGGACACUCAGGUGCAAUGAUACUGGACCUAGAUACGGGGGAAACGAGGAUAUCUGUAGAUAGUGGGUGCUUCUUUACUGCAUUCCUACCCAACUCUUAUCAGUUCGUUGUAGAGAAUGGAAGUGGAGUGUACUUGUACUCUGAAGACGGGUAGGGGAUACAGUCACCAGCUUCUUCGGCCACCAGGCACAAGUAGAGACUGGUACUUUUCAAGAGGACCACCUGGUUACGGGGAGUAAAGACGGAACUGUCAGAUUGUUUGAUAUGAAGACAGGUGAGUGUGUUUAUGCGUUCUUCAACCACAGAUCACAGGAUAUGAAGUGUUUAGCAGUUUCUCAGACUGGUCUGCGUCUACUGCUCGCCUCCAAUUCUAAUGGAAUGCUUUACGUGCUCAAAUAUUAGAGUGUACUGCUUAGACACGUGUAGUUUUGUAGUUUUUACUUCUUCUUUACAUAUAGUGUAUUCCGCUUAUAGGGAAUUUGUUUUUACGAAUUUGUUUUUACUAUACAGUGUACAAAACCAUUAAGUUUGCAUUUUCAGAUUUUUAGAAAGCUAGUUGAUUUAUUUUAACUUAUCCGCUCGAAGGAAUUCAAAUUCAAAACCAUUGAAAAUUAAAGAUUUUUGUCAUAUUUUUGGGCGCUUUUAAUCCAAUUUGAACGAUAAUGUUUUAAUAAAUUUGUUAAUACAGCAAGCACGAAAAAUAUUUGUUAAGCAGUCAAAAUGUUGAUAUGAUUUAGUCUGAUGAAAGAAAUUGAAAUCGAAGAAAUUAUAAAGUAGU